This 344-nucleotide ribosomal RNA is filed under the name uncultured bacterium. RNAcentral describes it as "bacterial SSU rRNA". It matches the Rfam family "Bacterial small subunit ribosomal RNA", at positions 8 to 334 of the family's 1533-position model. The record is from RNAcentral.
AGGGUUUGAUUAUGGCUCAGGAUGAACGCUGGCGGCGUGCCUAACACAUGCAAGUCGAACGAAGCAUCAUAAAGGAAGUUUACGGAUGGAAUUUAAGAUGACUGAGUGGCGGACGGGUGAGUAACGCGUGGAUAACCUGCCUCAUACAGGGGGAUAACAGCUAGAAAUGGCUGCUAAUACCGCAUAAGCGCACAGUGCCGCAUGGCAGAGUGUGAAAAACUCCGGUGGUAUGAGAUGGAUCCGCGUCUGAUUAGCCAGUUGGUGGGGUAACGGCCCACCAAAGCGACGAUCAGUAGCCGGCCUGAGAGGGCGACCGGCCACAUUGGGACUGAGACACGGCCCAA